ACGAACGCUGGCGGCGUGCUUAACACAUGCAAGUCGAACGGAAAGGCCCUGCUUUUGUGGGGUGCUCGAGUGGCGAACGGGUGAGUAACACGUGAGUAACCUGCCCUUGACUUUGGGAUAACUUCAGGAAACUGGGGCUAAUACCGGAUAGGAGCUCCUGCUGCAUGGUGGGGGUUGGAAAGUUUCGGCGGUUGGGGAUGGACUCGCGGCUUAUCAGCUUGUUGGUGGGGUAGUGGCUUACCAACGCUUUGACGGGUAGCCGGCCUGAGAGGGUGACCGGCCACAUUGGGACUGAGAUACGGCCCAGACUCCUACGGGAGGCAGCAGUGGGGAAUAUUGCACAAUGGGCGGAAGCCUGAUGCAGCAACGCCGCGUGCGGGAUGACGGCCUUCGGGUUGUAAACCGCUUUCGCCUGUGACGAAGCGUGAGUGACGGUAAUGGGUAAAGAAGCACCGGCUAACUACGUG
Molecule: ribosomal RNA, 467 nt
Filed under: uncultured bacterium
Lineage: Bacteria
Description: partial 16S ribosomal RNA
Rfam family: Bacterial small subunit ribosomal RNA
Source: RNAcentral